UUUCUUCUGGUUACAGUCAGAAGGACAUCAAUUAGAAUCCUUUGCAUGUGGAGGAAUGGGGGCUAUUCCUAUAAGAUGUGUGCUGUGCUGAAAUGCAGUGACUGCACAUCUCCUUGUUAUCGUUCUCCUGCAGUUACUCAGAUCUGUUAGAAUUUUUCCAGCUCUUUCAGAUCCUACAAGGAAAAUGCUGUUUAUCACCUUCAAUUUCCCCAACGAGGCCUGAAAACUCAUUAGUACAACAGACGGUGCCAUAUGCUUCCUUGGAACCUCCUGUUCCACUACCAACAGAGGCUCAAGGACUCAGAGGGGAUGUGAUUGCCGUCCCACUCCUCAUCCCUCCUGCAUGGAAGACCUGCCACGCUCCAGGAUGCUUCCAGGUACCAUCUCAUUAGCUACAAAUCAAGCUUUGCAGUGCUGCUGGCAGCGUGGAUUCCAUCCUUUAGGUCCUCGCUGCUGGGCACUUGCCCUCAGAAGUCUCCUGGCUCGUCUGUGGUGGUGCAUUAAGGGGUAGGUCAGCUCAGAGCUGCUUUCUGCAAAGAGCUCGUGAGCCUGCAGGCUCCUUGUUGCUGUUUUUCUUUCUUAAUUGGCUUGGAGUGUGGAUGUGUGGAUGUGCAUGUGCCUGCCUCCCUCAUCAGCAGCACCCCUGGUAUUCAGCGGAGUAAUUAGAACAUCUAAAUCUUCCCUAUAUGUCAUCCAGACUUUGUGAAAUUAGCUGUGAUUACUGGCACCAGCCUGC
RNAcentral lists this long non-coding RNA (736 nucleotides) under Gallus gallus (chicken). Lineage: Eukaryota; Metazoa; Chordata; Aves; Galliformes; Phasianidae. The record is from RNAcentral.